RNAcentral lists this ribosomal RNA (376 nucleotides) under uncultured bacterium. Its description in RNAcentral is "bacterial SSU rRNA". It matches the Rfam family "Bacterial small subunit ribosomal RNA", at positions 523 to 898 of the family's 1533-position model. The record is from RNAcentral.
AUACGUAGGGGGCGAGCGUUAUCCGGAAUUACUGGGCGUAAAGGGUGCGCAGGCGGCCAUUUAAGUCAGAUGUGAAAGGCUACGGCUUAACCGUAGUUAGCAUUUGAAACUAGAAGGCUUGAGUGCAGUAGAGGAGAGUGGAAUUCCUAGUGUAGCGGUGAAAUGCGUAGAUAUUAGGAGGAACACCAGUGGCGAAGGCGACUCUCUGGACUGCAACUGACGCUGAGGCACGAAAGCGUGGGUAGCGAACAGGAUUAGAUACCCUGGUAGUCCACGCCGUAAACGAUGAGUGCUAAGUGUUGGAGGGUUUCCGCCCUUCAGUGCUGCAGCUAACGCAUUAAGCACUCCGCCUGGGGAGUACGACCGCAAGGUUGAA